GGUGAGGUGGCUGAGUAAGCGUUAGACUGUAAAUCUAAGCACGGGGGUAGGUCCCUCCUUCACCA
Molecule: non-coding RNA, 65 nt
Organism: Galeopterus variegatus (Sunda flying lemur)
Lineage: Eukaryota; Metazoa; Chordata; Mammalia; Dermoptera; Cynocephalidae
Source: the annotation of a RefSeq genome assembly